RNAcentral lists this ribosomal RNA (234 nucleotides) under Triticum aestivum (bread wheat). RNAcentral describes it as "partial small subunit ribosomal RNA". The record is from RNAcentral. Lineage: Eukaryota; Viridiplantae; Streptophyta; Magnoliopsida; Poales; Poaceae.
AUGAUUAGCCCCUUCUCUCUGCUCAACUGGAAUGCCCGUGGUCUGAAUGACAAGGCCCGUCGUGGUGGAGUCCACUCCCUUGUGCUUCAGUCUAGGUGCGCACUUCUGUGUGUCCAGGAGACGAAAAAGGCUCAGUUCUCGACUGCGGAGCUGCGGGAAACGGCGGGUUCAGAGCUCACUGGCUGCGCGGUGCUCCCUGCAGACGGCACCAGGGGCGGGGUGCUGCUGGCUUGG